Caretta caretta (loggerhead turtle) is the source of this 639-nucleotide long non-coding RNA. RefSeq lists it as uncharacterized. Lineage: Eukaryota; Metazoa; Chordata; Testudines; Cheloniidae. The record is from RefSeq and is a predicted model, not a curated record.
AAAUCUUUUGAAAUCUCCAGAUAUAAUCUGCAAUCUUUGCUAAUUUAGUGCUGUCACUUUAAAAGUGUGGACUACCCUGCCACAAACCAACCAACCAAAAAAUCCUUUACAACAGUUCUGAUCAUCUGAAGGAGAAGAACCUGCCUUCAUUGGAGUCUCUGGAAGAUACUUCUGGAAACUGGGGCUUGGGAUCUCACCCGUGUUUCUCUUUGCAAAGGAAUGUAUGUGUCCUAUGGCUAUCCGUGUGAUUGAAAAGUUGGAGCAGGAGGCCAGAGAUGAGCAGUUGUUCUGCGCACCACAGCUCAUAUUCAGGCCACAGCUGGAAGACAUAGAAGAUUAAGAAAAAUAUCACAAUGUUUUGGAUAACCCCAGGCCUUCCACAACGAUCCAGUUGGAACUAUACACCUGAAGAAGACUUCAUUGGCUAUGCUGAAACUAAGGAGCCCGUGAUUACAGAUAUCUGAAGAUCUCCUUAGCCAAACAGGCUGGCAAAGGCUCUGAUGGCCCUGGAUGGCAAAGCUGAAGUUCUUUCACAUAACCUCACUAAAUUGGAUACCUAGGUGGCCCAGAAUGAAAAGAGGGACGACAUGUAUUAGAGACGCUCCGAGAUAAAGCAAGCAUGGGGAAAAAAACAAUUAA